GGUGACUGCGUACCUUUUGUAUAAUGGGUCAGCGACUUAUAUUCUGUAGCAAGGUUAACCGUAUAGGGGAGCCGGAGGGAAACCGAGUCUUAAUUGGGCGUUAAGUUGCAGGGUAUAGACCCGAAACCCGGUGAUCUAGCCAUGGGCAGGUUGAAGGUUGGGUAACACUAACUGGAGGACCGAACCGACUAAUGUUGAAAAAUUAGCGGAUGACCUGUGGCUGGGGGUGAAAGGCCAAUCAAACCGGGAGAUAGCUGGUUCUCCCCGAAAGCUAUUUAGGUAGCGCCUCGUGAAUUCAUCUCCGGGGGUAGAGCACUGUUUCGGCUAGGGGGUCAUCCCGACUUACCAACCCGAUGCAAACUGCGAAUACCGGAGAAUGUUAUCACGGGAGACACACGGCGGGUGCUAACGUCCGUCGUGAAGAGGGAAACAACCCAGACCGCCAGCUAAGGUCCCAAAGUCAUGGUUAAGUGGGAAACGAUGUGGGAAGGCCCAGACAGCCAGGAUGUUGGCUUAGAAGCAGCCAUCAUUUAAAGAAAGCGUAAUAGCUCACUGGUCGAGUCGGCCUGCGCGGAAGAUGUAACGGGGCUAAACCAUGCACCGAAGCUGCGGCAGCGACACUGUGUGUUGUUGGGUAGGGGAGCGUUCUGUAAGCCUGUGAAGGUGGCCUGUGAGGGUUGCUGGAGGUAUCAGAAGUGCGAAUGCUGACAUAAGUAACGAUAAAGCGGGUGAAAAGCCCGCUCGCCGGAAGACCAAGGGUUCCUGUCCAACGUUAAUCGGGGCAGGGUGAGUCGACCCCUAAGGCGAGGCCGAAAGGCGUAGUCGAUGGGAAACGGGUUAAUAUUCCCGUACUUGGUGUUACUGCGAAGGGGGGACGGAGAAGGCUAUGUUGGCCGGGCGACGGUUGUCCCGGUUUAAGCGUGUAGGUGUGUGUUCCAGGUAAAUCCGGUUCACUUUAACACUGAGGCGUGACGACGAGGCACUACGGUGCUGAAGCAACAAAUGCCCUGCUUCCAGGAAAAGCCUCUAAGCAUCAGGUAACAUCAAAUCGUACCCCAAACCGACACAGGUGGUCAGGUAGAGAAUACCAAGGCGCUUGAGAGAACUCGGGUGAAGGAACUAGGCAAAAUGGUGCCGUAACUUCGGGAGAAGGCACGCUGACACGUAGGUGAAGUGAUUUACUCACGGAGCUGAAGUCAGUCGAAGAUACCAGCUGGCUGCAACUGUUUAUUAAAAACACAGCACUGUGCAAACACGAAAGUGGACGUAUACGGUGUGACGCCUGCCCGGUGCCGGAAGGUUAAUUGAUGGGGUCAGCGCAAGCGAAGCUCCUGAUCGAAGCCCCGGUAAACGGCGGCCGUAACUAUAACGGUCCUAAGGUAGCGAAAUUCCUUGUCGGGUAAGUUCCGACCUGCACGAAUGGCGUAAUGAUGGCCAGGCUGUCUCCACCCGAGACUCAGUGAAAUUGAACUCGCUGUGAAGAUGCAGUGUACCCGCGGCAAGACGGAAAGACCCCGUGAACCUUUACUAUAGCUUGACACUGAACAUUGAGCCUUGAUGUGUAGGAUAGGUGGGAGGCUUUGAAGCGUGGACGCCAGUCUGCGUGGAGCCGACCUUGAAAUACCACCCUUUAAUGUUUGAUGUUCUAACGUGGACCCGUGAUCCGGGUUGCGGACAGUGUCUGGUGGGUAGUUUGACUGGGGCGGUCUCCUCCUAAAGAGUAACGGAGGAGCACGAAGGUUGGCUAAUCCUGGUCGGACAUCAGGAGGUUAGUGCAAUGGCAUAAGCCAGCUUGACUGCGAGCGUGACGGCGCGAGCAGGUGCGAAAGCAGGUCAUAGUGAUCCGGUGGUUCUGAAUGGAAGGGCCAUCGCUCAACGGAUAAAAGGUACUCCGGGGAUAACAGGCUGAUACCGCCCAAGAGUUCAUAUCGACGGCGGUGUUUGGCACCUCGAUGUCGGCUCAUCACAUCCUGGGGCUGAAGUAGGUCCCAAGGGUAUGGCUGUUCGCCAUUUAAAGUGGUACGCGAGCUGGGUUUAGAACGUCGUGAGACAGUUCGGUCCCUAUCUGCCGUGGGCGCUGGAGAACUGAGGGGGGCUGCUCCUAGUACGAGAGGACCGGAGUGGACGCAUCACUGGUGUUCGGGUUGUCAUGCCAAUGGCACUGCCCGGUAGCUAAAUGCGGAAGAGAUAAGUGCUGAAAGCAUCUAAGCACGAAACUUGCCCCGAGAUGAGUUCU
This 2236-nucleotide ribosomal RNA is filed under the name Salmonella enterica. RNAcentral's name for it is "bacterial LSU rRNA". It matches the Rfam family "Bacterial large subunit ribosomal RNA", at positions 592 to 2812 of the family's 2925-position model. The record is from RNAcentral. Lineage: Bacteria; Pseudomonadati; Pseudomonadota; Gammaproteobacteria; Enterobacterales; Enterobacteriaceae.